CCAGACUCCUACGGGAGGCAGCAGUGGGGAAUAUUGCACAAUGGGGGAAACCCUGAUGCAGCGACGCCGCGUGAGUGAAGAAGUAUCUCGGUACGUAAAGCUCUAUCAGCAGGGAAGAAAAUGACGGUACCUGACUAAGAAGCCCCGGCUAACUACGUGCCAGCAGCCGCGGUAAUACGUAGGGGGCAAGCGUUAUCCGGAUUUACUGGGUGUAAAGGGAGCGUAGACGGCAGCACAAGUCUGGAGUGAAAUGGCGGGGGUGAGCGCCGGAACUGCUUUGGAAACUGGGGGGCUAGAGUGGAGGAGAUGUAAGCGGAAUUCGUGGUGUAGCGGUGAAAUGCGUAGAUAUUAGGCGGAACACCGGUGGCGAAGGCGGCUUACUGGA
Molecule: ribosomal RNA, 385 nt
Filed under: uncultured bacterium
Lineage: Bacteria
Description: bacterial SSU rRNA
Rfam family: Bacterial small subunit ribosomal RNA
Source: RNAcentral